UUCUUUAGGAUAUAAGUAUAUAUUUAAUUAAUUUUGAUGUUCAAUACAUAUCUUUCUAAACUAUUUAAUGUCAAGGUUUGUUACUCAUUACAAGUUUGAUUUAUUUAUAUAAUUGAGGAUGUACUUAAUAGAAAUAUUUAGCUUACAUUAUUUAAUCGAAAUCUCCCGUUCAUAAUCACUUUAUGAUUGUAUAAACAAAAUACAAAGGGUAAAAAAAUACGUACUGCUGAAAAAUUGUCACAUUUUUCUUUUUUUCUAUCUUUUAUGAGUAAUUUUCUUUUUUAUCUAUCAAAUAUACAGAUCAAGUGAUUUCGGAUAUAUAGGUUGAUCUUUCGAAGGUUACACAUCUCUAACUUGUUUAUUUUGGCACUCUAUUCAUCUGUGUUUCCUCUUAUUUUCAAUUUUAUUCUUGCGUCACCAAUGAUUAUGAUAGGGUUUUAUAUAUUGUUUUGAUGAGAUUGAGAUAUUUAUUAGGAUUAUGAGGAUCGCAAAAUAAUAAAGGUGAUGCUAAUGUAACACUGGAAAAAUGAUUGAGUUGGUUUCCUUUAUACCAUACGAUCUCAUUUUCAUUUUCUUGCAAUUAUUCUAUUUUCUUGUUUUCUUUUACAUUUUCUACUUAUAAUUUGUAUUUUAACACAUUUUUUAAUUUGUAUAACUUAUGUUAAUUCUUUAAUUAUCAUAAUAUAGAAGAUGACAUUUUAUGUUUUUUAGGAUAUAAGUAUAUAUUUAAUUAAUUUAGAUGUUCAAUAUAUAUCUUUCUAAACUAUUUAAUAUCAAGGUUUGUUACUCACUGCAUGUUUGAUUGAUUUAUACAAUUGAGGAUGUACUUAAUCGAAAUAUUUAGCUUACAUUCUUUAAUAGAAAUCCCUAGUUCAUAAUCACUUUAUGAUUGUAUAAAAAAAAUACAAAGGGUAAAAAAAUACGUACUGCUGAAAAAUAAUCACAUUUUCCUUUUUUUCUAUCGUUUAUGAGUAGUUUUCGCUUUUAUCUAUCAAAUCUACAAAUCAAGUGAUUUCUGAUAUAGGUUGAUCUUUUGAAGGAUACACAUCUCUAACUUGUUUAUUUUGGCACUCUAUUCAUCUGUGUUUCCUCUUAUUUUCAAUUUUAUUCUUGCGUCACCAAUGAUUAUGAUAGGGUGUUUUCGUAUUGUUUUGAUGAGAUUGAGAUGUUGGUUAGGAUUAUGAGGAUCUCACAAUAAUAAAGGUCAUGCUAAUGUAACACUGGAAAAAUGAUUGAGUUGGCUUCCUUUAUACCAUAGGGUCUCAUUUUCAUUUUCUUGUAAUUAUUCUAUUUUCUUUUUUUCUUUUUCAUUUUCUUGUAAUUAUUCUAUUCUCUUUUUUUCUUUUUCAUUUUCUACUUAUAAUUAGUAUUUCAGCAUAAUUUUUAUUAUGUAUAACUUAUGUUAAUUGUUUAAUUAUCAAAAUAUAGACGGUGACAUUUUAUGUUCUUUAGGAUAUAAGUAUAUAUUUAAUUAAUUUUGAUGUUCAAUACAUAUGUUUCUAAACUAUUUAAUGUCAAGGUUUGUUACUCAUUACAUGUUUGAUUGAUUUAUAUAAAUGAGGAUGUACUUAAUAGAAAUAUUUAGCUUACAUUAUUUAAAAGAAAUCUCUGGUUCAUAAUCACUUUAUGAUUGUAUUGAUUUAUAUAAAUGAGGAUGUACUUAAUAGAAAUAUUUAGCUUACAUUAUUUAAAAGAAAUCUCUGGUUCAUAAUCACUUUAUGAUUGUAUAAACAAAAUACAAAGGGUAAAAAAAUAUGUACUGCUGAAAAAUUGUCAUAUUUUCCUUUUUUUUCUAUCUUUUAUGAGUAAUUUUCUUUCUUAUCUAUCAAAUAUACAAAUCAACUGAUUUCAGAUAUAGGUUGAUCUUUUGAAGGUUACACAUCUUUAACUUGUUUAUUUUGUCACUCUAUUCAUCUAGGUUUCCUCUUAUUUUCAAUUUUAUUCUUGUAUCACCAAUGAUUAUGAUAGGGUUUUUCGUUUUGUUUUGAUGAGAUUGAGAUGUUUGUUAGGAUUAUGAGGACCUCACAAUAAUAAAGGUGAUGCUAAUGUAACACUGGAAAAAUGAUUGAGUUGGUUUCCUUUAUACCAUACGGUCUCAUUUUCAUUUUCUUGUAAUUAUUAUAUUUUCUUUUUUUCGUUUUCAUUUUCUUUUAACUAUUCUAUUUUCUUUUUUUCUUUUUCAUUUUCUACUUAUAAUUAGUAUUUGAGCAUAUUCUUUAUUCUGUAUAACCUAUGUUAAUUGUUUAAUUAUCAGAAUAUAGAAGAAGACAUUUUAUGUUCUUUAGGAUAUAAGUAUAUAUUUAUUUAAUUUUGAUGUUCAAUACAUAUCUUUUUAAACUAUUUAAUGUCAAGGUUUAUAACUCAUUACAAGUUUGAUUGAUUUAUAUAAUUGAGGAUGUACUUAUUAGAAAUAUUUAGCUUACAUUAUUUAAUCGAAAUCUCCCGUUCAUAAUCACUUUAUGAUUGUAUAAACAAAAUACAAAGGGUAAAAAAAUACGUACUGCUGAAAAAUUGUCAUAUUUUCCUUUUUUUCUAUCUUUUAUGAGUAAUUUUCUUUCUUAUCUAUCAAAUGAUUCAUAAUCACUUUAUGAUUGUAUAAACAAAAUACAAAGGGUAAAAAAAUACGUACUGCUGAAAAAUUGUCAUAUUUUCCUUUUUUUCUAUCUUUUAUGAGUAAUUUUCUUUCUUAUCUAUCAAAUGAACAGAUCAAAUGAUUUUUGAUAUAGGUUGAUCUUUUGAAGGUUACACAUCUCUAACUUGUUUAUUUUGGCACUCUAUUCAUCUAGGUUUCCUCUUAUUUUCAAUUUUAUUCUUGCGUCACCAAUGAUUAUGAUAGGGUUUUUUGUAUUGUUUCGAUGAAAUUGAGAUAUUUGUUAGGAUUAUGAGGAUCUCACAAUAAUAAAGGUGAUGCUAAUGUAACACUGGAAAAAUGAUUGAGUUGAUUUCCUUUAUACCAUAGGGUCUCAUUUUCAUUUUCUUGUAAUUAUUCUAUUUUCUUUUUUUCAUUUUCAUUUUCUACUUAUAAUUAGUAUUUUAGCAUAUUUUUUGAUAUGUAUAACUUAUGUUAAUUGUUUAAUUAUCCGAAUAUAGAAGAUGACAUUUUAUAUUCUUUAGGAUAUAAGUAUAUAUUUAAUUAAUUUCGAUGUUCAAUACAUAUCAUUCUAAACUAUUUAAAUUCAAGGUUUGUUACUCAUUAGAUAGAAAUCUAUGGUCCAUAAUCACUUUAUGAUUGUAUAAACAAAAUACAAAGGGUAAAAAAAUACGGAUUGCUGAAAAAUUGUUAUAUUUUCCUUUUUUUUUUAUCUUUUAUGAGUAAUUUUCUUUCAUAUCUAUCAAAUGUACAGAUAAAGUGAUUUCUGAUAUAGGUUGAUCUUUUGAAGGUUAGACAUCUCUAACUUGUUUAUUUUGUCACUCUAUUCAUCUGUGUUUUCUCUUAUUUUCAAUUUUAUAAUUGCGUCACCAAUGAUUAGGAUAGGGUUUUUCACAUUGUUUUGAUGAGAAUGAGAUAUUUGUUAGGAUUAUGAGGAUCGCACAAUAAUAAAGGUGAUGCUAAUGUAACACUAGAAAAAUGAUUGAGUUGGUUUCCUUUAUACCAUACGAUCUCAUUUUCAUUUUCUUGCAAUUAUUCUAUUUUCUUGUUUUCUUUUUCAUUUUCUGCUCAUAAUUUGUAUUUUAGCAUAUUUUUUAAAUUGUAUAACUUAUGUUCAAUAUAUAUCUUUCUAAACUAUUUAAUAUCAAGGUUUGUUACUCACUGCAUGUUUGAUUGAUUUAUACAAUUGAGGAUGUACUUAAUAGAAAUAUUUAGCUUACAUUAUUUAAUAGAAAUCUCUAGUUCAUAAUCACUUUAUGAUUGUAUAAACAAAAUACAAAGGGUAAAAAAAUACGUACUACUGAAAAAUUGUCACAUUUUCCUUUUUUUCUAUCUUUUACGAGUAAUUUUCUUUUUUAUCUAUCAAAUAUACAGAUCAAGUGAUUUCUGAUAUAGGUUGAUCUUUCGAAGGUUACACAUCUCUAACUUGUUUAUUUUAGCACUCUAUUCAUCUGUGUUUCCUCUUAUUUUCAAUUUUAUUCUGCCGUCACCAAUGAUUAUGAUAGGGGUUUUCGUAUUGUUUUGAUGAGAUUGAGAUGUUUGUUAGGAUUAUGAGGAUCUCACAAUAAUAAAGGUGAUGCUAAUGUAACACUGGAAGAAUGAUUGAGUUGAUUUCCUUUAUGCCAUACGGUCUCAUUUUCAUUUUCUUGUAAUUAUUCUAUGUUACUCACAAUUAUAAAUGUGGUGCUAAUGUAACACUUGAAAAUGAUUGAGUUGGUUUCCUUUAUAAUAUACAGUCUCAUUUUCAUUUUCUUGUAAUUAUUCAAUUUUCUUUUUUUAUUUUUCAUUUUCUACUUAUAAUUAGUAUUUUAGCAUAUUUUUUAAUCUGUAUAACUUAUGUUAAUUGUUUAAUUAUCAGAAUAUAGAAGAUGGCAUUUUAUGUUCUUUAGGAUAUAAGUAUAUAUUUAAUUAAUUUUGACGUUCAAUAUAUAUUUUUGUAAACUAAUUAAUGUCAAGGUUUAUUACUCAUUAUAUGUUUGAUUGAUUUAUAUAAUUGAGGAUGUACUUAAUAGAAAUAUUUAGCUUACAUUAUUUAAUAGAAAUCUCUGGGUCAUAAUCACUUUAUGAUUGUAUAUACAAAAUACAAAGGGUAAAAAAAUACGUACUGCUGAAAAAUUGUCAUAUUUUCCUUUUUUUUCUAUCCUUUAUGAGUAAUUUUCUUUCUUAUCUAUCAAAUGUACAAAUCAAGUGAUUUCUGAUAUAGGUUGAUCUUUUGAUGGUUACACAUCUCUAACUCUCUCAUUUUGUCACUCUAUUCAUCUAUGUUUCCUCUUGUUUUCAAUUUUAUUCUUGCGUCACCAAUGAUUAUGAUAGAGUUUUGUAUUGUUUUGAUGAGAUUGAGAUGUUUGUUAGGAUUAUGAGGAUCUCAAAAUAAUAAAGAUGGGGCUAAUGUAACACUGGAAAAAUGAUUGAGUUCUUUCCUUUAUACCAUACGAUCUCAUUUUUAUUUUCUUGUAAUUAUUCUGAUUUCUUUUUUCUUUUUCACUUUCUAUUUAUAAUCUUUUAUGAGUAAUUUUCUUUCUUAUCUAUCAAAUGUACGGAUCAAGUGAUUUCUGAUGAAGGUUAAUCUUUUGAAGGUUACACAUCUCUAACUUGUUUAUUUUGUCACUCUAUUCAUCUGUGUUUCCUCUUAUUUNUCAUUACAUGUUUGAUUGAUUUAUAUAAUUGAGGAUGUACUUAAUAGAAAUAUUUAGCUUACAUUAUUUAAUAGAAAUCUCUGGUUCAUAAUCACUUUAUGAUUGUAUAAACAAAAUACAAAGGGUAAAAAAAUACGUAUUGCUGAAAAAUUGUCAUAUUUUCCUUUUUUUUUAAUCUUUUCUGAGUAAUUUUCUUUCUUAUCUAUCAAAUGUACUGAUCAAGUGAUUUCUGAUAAAGGUUAAUCUUUUGAAGGUUACACAUCUCUAACUUGUUUAUUUUGUCACUCUAUUCAUCUGUGUUUCCUCUUAUUUUUAAUUUUAUUCUUCCGUCAACAAUGAUUAUGAUAGGGUUUUUCGUAUUGUUUUGAUGAGAUUGAGAUGUUUGUUAGGAUUAUGAGGAUCUCACAGUAAUAAAGGUGAUGUUAAUGUAACACUGGAAAAAUGAUUGAGUUGGUUUCCUUUAAUACAUACGGUCUCAUUUUCAUUUUCUUGUAAUUCUUCUCUCUUCUUUGUUUCUUUUUCAUUUUCUACUUAUAAUUAGUAUUUUAGCAUAUUUUUUAAUCUAUAUAACUUAUGUUAAUUGUUUAAUUAUCAGAAUAUAGAAGAUGACAUUUUAUGUUCUUUAGGAUAUAAGUAUAUAUUUAAUUAAUUUUGAGGUUCAAUACAUAUCUUUCUAAACUAUUUAUUGUCAAGGUUUGUUAAUCAUUACAUGUUCGANUCAUAUCUUUUCUACUAUAAUGGCAAGGUUUGUUUACUCUUACAUGUUUUGAUUGAUUUUAUAUGGGACUAUACGUAACUAUAAAUAUUAGCUACAUAUUUGAAUAGAAUUUGUGGUUAUAUCACUUUUGAUUGUAUAAAACACAUAAAGGUUAAAAUUAUGUCCGCUGAAAAUAUUUUUUUUUAAUUUUUAUGGUAUUUUCAUCUUAUCUAUUCAUACGGAUCACGUGAUUUCUGAUAGGUUAUCUUUUGAAGACAAUCUCUACUUUUUUAUUUGUCCUCUAUUCAUGCUGUGGGUUCCUUUUCUAUUAUUCUCGUCCAAUUGAUUUGAUAAGGGUUUUUCGUUUGUUUUUGUGAGAUUGCGUGUUUGUUGGAUUAUGAGGAUCUACGCUAUAAAGCAUGGUGCUAUGCAUAACACUGGAAAUGUGGUUGAGUUUCCUUUUAACUUACGGGUCUCAUUUUUCUUUUUGUAUUUCUAUUUUCUUUUUCUUUUUCAUUUUUUAUGUAAUGAUUCUUUUUCUUUUUUUCUUUUUUGCUCCUUAUAUAAGUAUUUAGCAUUAUUUUUUAAUCUAUAUCUUAUUUUGAUUUACUUAUUCAGCAGAUUGAAGUGGACGUAUUUUGUUCUUUAGGAUUAAUAUAUAUUAAUUAUUUGGGAUGUCAUACUAUCUGUUCUAAACUAUUAUGUCGAGUUUGCUGUAUCAUUACAUGUUUGACUUGAUUUAUAUAUUGAGGAUUACUUAUAUAGAAUAUUUAGUCUUAAUUAGUAUUUAAUAGAACUCUCUGUUCAUACUCACUUUAUGAUUGAUUAACAAAUACAGGUAAAAUACGUUUGCCUGAAAUUGUCUAUUUUCCUUUUUUUUUUAAUCUUUUCUGAGUAUUGUUCUUUCUUAUCUAUCAAUGUAGUCAAGUGAUUUCUGAUAGGUUAUAUUUUUGAAGGUUACAUCUUCUAACUUGUUUAUUUUGUCACUCUAUUCAUCUGUGUUUUUCUUAUUUUUAAUUUUAUUUUCAGUCAACAAUGAUUUGAUAGGGUUUUUCGUAUUGUUUUGAUGAGAUUGAGGUUUGUAGGUUAUUUGAGGUAUGUUGUAAUAUAGUGAUUGUUAAUGUAACCUGGAAAAAUGAUUGAGUUGGUUUCCUUAUAUACGGUCUCAUUUUCAUUUCUUGGUAAUUCUUCUCUCUUCAUUUGUUCUUUUUCAUUUUUCUACUGUAUAAUUAGUAUUUUAGCAUAUUUUUAAUCUAUAUAACUUAUGUUAAUUGUUUAAUUAUCAGAUAUAAGAAGAUGGAUUUUAUGUUCUUUAGGUUAGUAUAUUUAAUUAUUUGAGGUUCUACUUCUUUUAACUAUUUUAUUGUUGCAGGUUGUAAUCUUACUGUUUUGAUUGGAUUAUAUAUUGAGGAUUACUAUAAACUAUUAUUGAUUAUUAUGAAUCUAGGUUCUAAUCCUUUGAUGUUACAAAUAAGGUUAAAAUUAGUACUGCUGAAAUUUGUUUAUUUUCUUUUUUUUCUCUUUAUGGUAUUUUCUUUCUAUUCUCAAUGUCAUCACAGUGAUUUUGAUCUGGUGUAUUUGUUCAUGGUUAAUUCUCUACUCUCUCAGUUUGACUCUUUAUUCUGACGUUGUCCUCUUAUUUUCAUUUUAUUCUUCGUCACCAUAUGAUUUGAGUAGGGUUUUUCAUAUUGUUUGAUGAGAUUGAGUGGUGUUUUAGGUUUGAGAUCUCAAACAUAAAGAUGGUGCUGUAAUGCACGGAAAAUGUUGGGUUGGUUCCCUUUUACUACUGGUCUCUUUUUAUUUGCUUUAUAUUUUAUUUUCUUUUUUUCUUUUUCAUUUUCUUGUAUUAUUUUUUUCUUUUUUUCGUUCGUUUCUAUUAUAUUGUAUUUUAGAUAUUUUUUAAUCUUAAUCCUUAUGUAUGAUUUAUUAUCAAAUUAGAGAUGACAUUUUAUGCUUCUUUAGCUAUAAGUAUAUAUUUAUUAAUUUGAUGUUCAUAAUAUCUUUUAACUUUUAAUGUCAGGUUUGUACUCAUUACUGUUUUGAUUGAUUAUUAUGAGGAUAUACGUAUAUAUAUUGUUAAUAUUUAAUAGAAUCUUUGGUUUUAUCAUUUUUUGAUUGUGUUAUAAACCAUACAAGGUUAAAAUUGGCCGCUGAGAAAUUGUUAUUUUUCCUUUUUUGUAUCUUUUAUUGGUGAUUUUCUUUCUUAUCCUAUCAAUAGUCGGAUCAGUGAUUCUGUAAAGGAAGUUAAUCUUUUGAAGGUUACACAUCUCUACUUGUUUAUUUUGUCAUCUAUUCAUCUGUGUUUCUUUUUUAUAAUUUUAUUUUUCGUCACCAAAUGUUCAUGAUAGGUUUUUCGGUAUUGUUUUGAUGAGUGAGAUGUUGUUGAUUAUUGAGAUCUCAGUAAUAAAGUGUGUUAAGUACACUGGAAAAUCAUUGGGUUGGUUUCCUUUAUAACAUCCCGGUCUCAUUUUCAUUUUGUUGUUUAUUCUAUAUUUUCUUUUUUUUCUUUUUUAUUUUUUUGUAUUAUUUUUUCUUUCAUUCUUUUCUUUUACUUAGUAUGUUUUUAGUUUUUUUAUCUAUUACUUUGUUCAUGAUUUAAUGCGAAUUGAGUGCUUUAUGUCUUUAGGAUAUAAGUAUUAUUUAAUUAUUUUGAUGUUCAUCAUACGUUUCUAAACUAAUUUGUCAGGUUUGUUCUGACAUGUUUGAGUUGUUUAUAUAAUUUGAGGAUGUUACUUAUAGAAAUAUUUAGCUUAAUUAUUCUAAUAGAAAUCUCGGUUCAUAAUCACUCUAUGAUUCGCUAUAACAAUAAACGGUAAUACGUCGCGCUGAAAUUGUCUAUUUUCUUUUUUUUAAAUCGUUUAUGAGUAAUUUCUUUUCUUAUUAUCAAUGUACGCGAUCAAGUGUUUGUGAAGUUAAUCUUUUGAAAAGGUUACACAUCUCUAACUUGUUUAUUUUGUCACUCUAUUCAUCUGUGUUUCCUCUUAUUUAUAAUUUUAUUCUUCCGUCACCAAUGAUUAUGAUAGGGUUUUUCGUAUUGUUUUGAUGAGAUUGACAUGUUUUUUAGGAUUAUGAGGAUCUCACAGUAAUAAAGGUGGUGCUAAUGUAACACUGGAAAAAUGAUUGAGUUGGUUUCCUUUAUAACAUACGGUCUCAUUUUCAUUUUCUUGUAAUUCAUCUAUUUUCUUUUUUUCUUUUUCAUUUUCUUGUAAUUAUUCUUUUUUCUUUUUUAUCUUUUCCAUUUUCUACUUAUAAUUAGUAUUUUAGCAUAUUUUUAAUCUAUAUAACUUAUGUUAAUUGUUUAAUUAUCAGAAUAUAGAAGAUGACAUUUUAGGUUCUUUAGGAUAUAAGUAUAUAUUUAAUUAAUUUUGAUGUUCAAUACAUAUCUUUCAAUACUAAUUAAUGUCAAGGUUUGUUACUCAUUACAUGUUUGAUUGAUUUAUAUAAUUGAGGAUGUACUUAAUAUAAAUAUUUAGCUUACAAUAUCUAAUAGAAAUCUCUGGUUCAUAAUCACUUUAUGAUUGUAUAAACAAAAUACAAAGGGUAAAAAAAUACGUACUGCUGAAAAAUUGAUAUAUUGUCCUUUUUUUCUCUGUAUCUUUUAUGAGUAAUUUUCUUUCUUAACUAUCAACUGUAUGGUUCAAUUGAUUUAUGAUAUAAGUUAAUGUUUUGAAGUUUACACAUCUCUAACUUGUUUAUUUUGUAACUCUAUUCAUCUGUGUUUCCUCUUAUUUUAAAUUUUAUUCUUGCAUCAUCACCAAUGAUUAUGAUAGGGUUUUUCGUAUUGUUUUGAUGAGAUUGAGAUGGUUGUUAGGAUUAUGAGGAUCUCACAAUAAUAAAGGUGGUGCUAAUGUAACACUGGAAAAAUGAUUGAGUUGGUUUCCUUUAUAACAUACGGUCUCAUUUUCAGUUUCUUGUAAUUAUUCUUUUUUCAUUUUUUGUUUUUCAUUUUCUUGUAAUUAUUCUUUUUUCUUUUUUUCUUUUUCAUUUUCUAUAUAAGUUAUGUUAAUUGUGUAAUUAUCAGAAUAUAGAAGAUGACAUUUUAUGUUCUUUAGGAUAUAAGUAUAUAUUUAAUUAAAUUUGAUGUUCAAUACAUAUCUUUCUAAACUAAUUAUUGUCAAGGUUUAUUACUCAUUACAUGUUUGAUUGAUUGAUAUAAUUGAGGAUGUACUUCAUAGGAAUAUUUAGCUUACAUUAUUUAAUAGAAAUAUCUGUUUCAUAAUCACGUUAUGAUUGUAUAAACAAAAUACAAAGGGUAAAAAAAUACGUACUGCUGAAAAAUUGAUAUAUUGUCCUUUUUUUCUCUCUAUCUUUUAUGAGUAAUUUUCUUUCUUAACAAUCAACUGUAUGGUUCAAUUGAUUUAUGAUAUAAGUUAAUGUUUUGAAGUUUACACAUCUCUAACUUGUUUAUUUUGUAACUCUAUUCAUCUGUGUUUCCUCUUAUUUUAAAUUUUAUUCUUGCAUCACCAAUGAUUAUGAUAGGGUUUUUCGUAUUGUUUUGAUGAGAUUGAGAUGGUUGUUAGGAUUAUGAGGAUCUCACAAUAAUAAAGGUGGUGCUAAUGUAACACUGGAAAAAUGAUUGAGUUGGUUCCAUUAUAACAUACGGUCUCAUUUUCAGUUUCUUGUAAUUAUUCUUUUUUCAUUUUUUGUUUUUCAUUUUCUUGUAUUUUUCUUUUCUCUUUUUUUUCUUUUUCAUUUUCUAUAUAAGUUAUGUUAAUUGUGUAAUUAUCAGAAUAUAGAAGAUGACAUUUUAUGUUCUUUAGGAUAUAAGUAUAUAUUUAAUUAAAUUUGAUGUUCAAUACACAUCUUUCUAAACUAAUUAUUGUCAAGGUUUGUUACUCAUUACAUGUUUGAUUGAUUGAUAUAAUUGAGGAUGUACUUAAUAGGAAUAUUUAGCUUAUAUUAUUUAAUAGAAAUAUCUAGUUCAUAAUCACUUUAUGAUUGUAUAAACAAAAUACAAAGGGUAAAAAAAUAUGUACUGCUGAAAAAUUGUCAUAUUCUCCUGUUUUUUCUAUCUUUCAUGAGUAAUUUUCUUUCUUAUCUAUCAAAUGUACAGAUCAAGUGAUUUCUGAUAUAGGUUGAUUAUUUGAAGGUUACACAUCUCUAACUCUCUCAUUUUGUCACUCUAUUCAUUUAUGUUUCCUCUUAUUUUCAAUUUUAGUUUUGCGUUACCAAUGAUUAUGAUAGGGUUUUCGUAUUGUUUUGAUAAGAUUGGGAUGUUUGUUAGGAUUAAUAGGAUCUCACAACAAUAAAGGUGGUGCUAAUGUAACACUGGAAAAAUGAUUGAGUUUGUUUCCUUUAUAACAUACGGUCUCAUUUUCAUUUUCUUGUAAUUAUUCUAUUUUCAUUUUUUCUUUUUCAUUUUCUUGUAAUUAUUCUUUUUUCUUUUUUUUUUUCAUUUUCUACUUAUAAUUAGCAUUUUAGCAUAUUUUUUAAUCUACAUAACUUAUGUUAAUUGUUUAAUUAUCAGAAUAUAGAAGAUGACAUUUUAUGUUCUUUAGGAUAUAAGUAUAUAUUUAAUUAAUUUUGAUGUUCAAUACA
Molecule: long non-coding RNA, 11461 nt
Filed under: Lathyrus oleraceus (garden pea)
Lineage: Eukaryota; Viridiplantae; Streptophyta; Magnoliopsida; Fabales; Fabaceae
Description: Pisum sativum (pea) long non-coding RNA (PSAT_LNC030842)
Source: RNAcentral